RNAcentral lists this unclassified non-coding RNA (456 nucleotides) under Hevea brasiliensis (rubber tree). Lineage: Eukaryota; Viridiplantae; Streptophyta; Magnoliopsida; Malpighiales; Euphorbiaceae. The record is from RNAcentral.
CCUAGCUAAUGGAACAAGAAAGACAUGGAUCUAUAUUCAAUACGCAAUCAAAGGAUUUCCCCCAACGAAGAAUUCCCCCUGCUUUGUUUUCGCUCCGCUCGUGCGUGGCACUCCUUGCUCGCGGAGCGGCAUACCGAAAAAAGAAAGGUUUUGGAAAAAAAAAGUCGAUUCCCUUUUGUGACCAAGAGCCCAUCUCGAAUACGAUGCGGUUAGGGUACUCGUGACUCUGCUGGUGGCUGCCACUGCCUCACACUUAAAUGCCGCCAGCUCUGUCUUCCUACUUUUUAGGCAUCCGCGACCUGGUUGGUCCGUCCAAGCUUAUACUCUAGCACCAUAUCAAUCAAACUUGGCAAGUUUGUCUUGCUUGCCAUCGUCCCUGUUUUGGCGUGAGUUUUUUCUGGGUCAGGAAGUCACUCGUCGCCACAUUAUCCGUCUUGACCACGAAUCGUGACCCGC